AACGAACGCUGGCGGCAUGCCUAACACAUGCAAGUCGAACGAGACCUUCGGGUCUAGUGGCGCACGGGUGCGUAACGCGUGGGAACCUGCCCGUAGGUUCGGAAUAACUCCCCGAAAGGGGUGCUAAUACCGGAUAAUGUCUUCGGACCAAAGAUUUAUCGCCUUUGGGUGGGCCCGCGUUGGAUUAGCUAGUUGGUAGGGUAAAAGCCUACCAAGGCGACGAUCCAUAGCUGGUCUGAGAGGAUGAUCAGCCACACUGGGACUGAGACACAGCCCAGACUCCUACGGGAGGCAGCAGUGGGGAAUAUUGGACAAUGGGCGAAAGCCUGAUCCAGCCAUGCCGCGUGAGUGAUGAGGGCCUUAGGGUUGUAAAGCUCUUUUACCCGGGAUGAUAAUGACAGUACCGGGAGAAUAAGCUCCGGCUAACUCCGUG
This 433-nucleotide ribosomal RNA is filed under the name uncultured bacterium. RNAcentral describes it as "partial 16S ribosomal RNA". It matches the Rfam family "Bacterial small subunit ribosomal RNA", at positions 29 to 507 of the family's 1533-position model. The record is from RNAcentral.